UAAGGCCACCGCCCCCUCCUGGUGUC
Molecule: non-coding RNA, 26 nt
Filed under: Rattus norvegicus (Norway rat)
Lineage: Eukaryota; Metazoa; Chordata; Mammalia; Rodentia; Muridae
Source: RNAcentral